This 354-nucleotide ribosomal RNA is filed under the name Triticum aestivum (bread wheat). RNAcentral describes it as "partial small subunit ribosomal RNA". The record is from RNAcentral. Lineage: Eukaryota; Viridiplantae; Streptophyta; Magnoliopsida; Poales; Poaceae.
AUGGACGGGGUCAAUGCUACAGGUGGGGAUGGCAGCUACGGGGAGGAAUCGAACGGGAAAUAUGGGGCUUUUGAUGUGGUGCUCACUGUGAGGUCGUGCGGACGGCUCGUGGACGUCGGGGUGGACGAACGGCAGCGGAUUGACAAAGAACGCCGACGGGUAGAGGUUGAAGAAGGCGGUCGAUCCCGGGCAUGGAGGCGUCCUUGCUUGACCUGGGCCUUAGAGAUGACGUGGUCGACGACGGGGAAGCGGACGAGCAAGUUCCUAGGGCGCGGGGAGCUCGGUGUGCGUAAGGACGAUGAGAACCAUGGCGGCGGUGGCUCUAUUGCGCACGGGAGGGAGGAGGGCAAGUGA